GUGGGAGGCGGUGGGGACACAUGCAGACGCGCUCCCACGGUCGUUUUUUAAAAGUAGGAUCUGCCUCCAGGGCCGAGCCCAACGCGGGGCUCGAACUCCCCACCGUGUGACCGAGACCUGAGCCAAGAUCAAGAGCGACACGCUUAGCCGACCGAGCCACCCAGAAGCCCCACGGAGGGUCGUUUUUAAUAACAUGAUAGAAACCUGAAAAAGAAUACAAUACCAUGUGGCACGCAGCGCGUUUUCCUGACUGCCAUGAAGAACCGUGGCUUUGUGCAGCUUGGUGCAUCCCAGGGUGCUCCGCGGGGAGACUCCUGGCCGGAUCGAGCCGUGCCCAGCAGCUGGCCAGCGCGCCAGAAACGAAUGCAAUCCCAGAAUAGUUCUGGCUGUGAUGUGCAUGCUGGGAUGAGCCACAGAAGUGAGGGGUCACUCAGAGGCAGCGCACGUGUCCCGUCCGGCUGGAGGCUUCUCCGCAUCCCAAUCCGGCUUAGGGUGGCGCCAGGGCCCCUCCAGUCACUUCCUGCUCCUCCUCCAGCCCGGAGCAGGCCCAGGUCAGCCAGCGUCGCCCACUUUUGCCCACCAGCUGGGGGACCCCGGGCAGGUGCACCCAGCCCCGGACUGUAGGCCAGGCCCGGAGUCGGCUACUCUGAGGAGAAGCUGGGGGCCCUGCGGUCGGGGUCCCGGCCCCCCAGCACCCCUCCCACCGCGGGCCCCCCCCCCCCCCCCCCGCCGCGACCCCGCCCACCUCGGGUGCCCUGGGUGCCCCACCUGGGGGCUAUUCCCGGGCGUCCCGGAAGC
Molecule: long non-coding RNA, 798 nt
Filed under: Canis lupus familiaris (dog)
Lineage: Eukaryota; Metazoa; Chordata; Mammalia; Carnivora; Canidae
Description: lncRNA (ENSCAFG00000050508.1)
Source: RNAcentral